RNAcentral lists this ribosomal RNA (253 nucleotides) under uncultured bacterium. Its description in RNAcentral is "partial 16S ribosomal RNA". It matches the Rfam family "Bacterial small subunit ribosomal RNA", at positions 524 to 776 of the family's 1533-position model. The record is from RNAcentral.
UACGUAGGGUCCGAGCGUUGUCCGGAAUUAUUGGGCGUAAAGAGCUCGUAGGCGGUUUGUCGCGUCUGCUGUGAAAACUGGAGGCUCAACCUCCAGCCUGCAGUGGGUACGGGCAGACUAGAGUGCGGUAGGGGAGAUUGGAAUUCCUGGUGUAGCGGUGGAAUGCGCAGAUAUCAGGAGGAACACCGAUGGCGAAGGCAGAUCUCUGGGCCGUAACUGACGCUGAGGAGCGAAAGCGUGGGGAGCGAACAGG